UGGGGAAUAUUGCACAAUGGGCGAAAGCCUGAUGCAGCAACGCCGCGUGAGCGAUGAAGGCCUUCGGGUCGUAAAGCUCUGUCCUCAAGGAAGAUAAUGACGGUACUUGAGGAGGAAGCCCCGGCUAACUACGUGCCAGCAGUCGCGGUAAUCAUACUCU
This 160-nucleotide ribosomal RNA is filed under the name uncultured bacterium. RNAcentral's name for it is "partial 16S ribosomal RNA". It matches the Rfam family "Bacterial small subunit ribosomal RNA", at positions 355 to 529 of the family's 1533-position model. The record is from RNAcentral.